This 627-nucleotide ribosomal RNA is filed under the name uncultured bacterium. RNAcentral's name for it is "bacterial SSU rRNA". It matches the Rfam family "Bacterial small subunit ribosomal RNA", at positions 28 to 635 of the family's 1533-position model. The record is from RNAcentral.
AACGAACGUUGGCGGCGUGGAUGAGGCAUGCAAGUCGAACGUGAAAGCCCUCGGGUGAGUAGCGUGGCGGACGGGCGAGUAACACGUAAUCAAGCUACCUCCGAGACGGGGAUAACUUCGGGAAACCGAAGCUAAGACCCGAUGGUCCUACGAGAUCGCAUGUUCUUGUAAGUAAAUGGGCGGGAUCCUUCGGGAUCGCCUGCUCGGAGAGGUGAUUGCGGCCCAUCAGUUUGUUGGCGGGGUAAUGGCCCACCAAGACUACGACGGGUAGCCGGCCUAAGAGGGUGGUCGGUCGCACUGGGACUGAGACACUGCCCAGACUCCUACGGGAGGCUGCAGUCGAGAAUCUUCCGCAAUGGACGAAAGUCUGACGGAGCGACGCCGCGUGGAGGACGAAGGCCCUCGGGUUGUAAACUCCUGUCACGAGUUAAGAAGUCUGUAGGGCGAACAGUCUUGCAGAUCGACGUAAGCUCGAGAGGAAGCACUGGCUAACUCUGUGCCAGCAGCCGCGGUAAUACAGAGAGUGCGAACGUUGUUCGGAAUUACUGGGCUUAAAGCGCGCGUAGGCGGCGUACCAAGUGUCGGGUGAAAUCCCACGGCUCACCCGUGGAACUGCCCGGCAAACUG